Molecule: ribosomal RNA, 253 nt
Filed under: uncultured bacterium
Lineage: Bacteria
Description: partial 16S ribosomal RNA
Rfam family: Bacterial small subunit ribosomal RNA
Source: RNAcentral
UACGGGGGGGGCAAGCGUUGUUCGGAAUUACUGGGCGUAAAGGGCUCGUAGGCGGCCAACUAAGUCAGACGUGAAAUCCCUCGGCUUAACCGGGGAACUGCGUCUGAUACUGGAUGGCUAGAGUUUGGGAGAGGGAUGCGGAAUUCCAGGUGUAGCGGUGAAAUGCGUAGAUAUCUGGAGGAACACCGGUGGCGAAGGCGGCAUCCUGGACCAAUACUGACGCUGAGGAGCGAAAGCUAGGGGAGCAAACGGG